UACGGAGGGUGCAAGCGUUGUUCGGAAUCAUUGGGCGUAAAGCGCGUGUAGGCGGCUUGGCAAGUCGGUUGUGAAAGCCCGGGGCCCAACCCCGGAACUGCAUCUGAAACUGCCUGGCUGGAGUCCCGGAGAGGAAGGCAGAAUUCCCGGUGUAGGGGUGAAAUCCGUAGAUAUCGGGAGGAAUACCAGCGGCGAAGGCGGCCUUCUGGACGGUGACUGACGCUGAGACGCGAAAGCGUGGGGAGCAAACAGG
Molecule: ribosomal RNA, 253 nt
Filed under: uncultured bacterium
Lineage: Bacteria
Description: partial 16S ribosomal RNA
Rfam family: Bacterial small subunit ribosomal RNA
Source: RNAcentral